GAGGGUACAGCUCAGUGGCGGAGUGCAUGCCUAGCAUGCAUGAGGUCCUGGGUUCAAUCCCCACUACCUCCA
This is a transfer RNA of Camelus ferus (Wild Bactrian camel), 72 nucleotides long. It matches the Rfam family "tRNA". From Rfam's summary of the family: Transfer RNA (tRNA) molecules are approximately 80 nucleotides in length. The record is from Rfam. NCBI's taxonomy places the organism in Eukaryota, Metazoa, Chordata, Mammalia, Artiodactyla, Camelidae.